AAACAAUGAACAAUUAAAAACAAAUUGAUCAAUUUGAUCAAAAAAAAUGUAACAUGGCCCAGCAUGGGUGGAACCCACUUGUAAAUAAUUACCAUGUUUAGUAUAUAUGAAUAACUCAAUAAGUGAUUUUUAAAAAUAAUUUAUAAAAAUUUGAGGUUAUAUACUGUUUAUUUUCACGUAACCGCAUAUCGAGUAAAUUGAACUACAAUUGGAGUUGCAAAUACCGCAUGCUGUGGCAUAUCUUACUUUUUUCGAUAGUUGACGCUUAACUACAAUAUUGUAGUAAAUCUAACCACAAUUUGGAGUUGUCUCAUAUUAUACUACAGCCUGUGGUAAAUGGAACUCCAGUUGUUGUUGCCACUACUACAAUUUAUUUUCGUGGAGCUAAUUUUUGGAGAGGCUUCUUAAAACAUCGUAAACCAACAAAUUUUCAUAAGAGACUCGAAAAAAAAAAAAAAGUCGGUUUUUUUGGGCCACCCUAGUAUAUAUGUAUAGAUCAUACGUUAAAAUAUAAAAAAAUAUGAGAUAGUGGUUAUCGACUGUAAUUAAUAUCUAACUAUCAUUAAAAGUGUCGCAUUCCGUAAAAAUUUAAAACGCUCAGUUAUUUGUGCCUUACGUGGAGUUUGAUUAACAAAUUUUAUUACCUUAACUGCCAUUCAGUAAUGAACACUUCAACUACUAAGUGAACAUAAAUUAUAAUUGAUUUAUUUCCGUUGUCAGUGCCACGUAAUAAACAUCUUUAAGUGCACGUCGUUAACAAAAUGAUAUUUUAACGACUUUUGACAAGAACAAUAAUUAUGAAAUCGCAAAUUUUUCUUACAUCAUUAGUAUCCUAGCUGUGAGUUUAUUGGUCUUUCAAAAUAAAUUUAUUGAAGGAUGUACCUGUAUCAGUUUAACCCGAAGUGAACAAUUUUUAAUUUCAGACUUUGUAUUAAAAAUACAAGCAAAGGGGUAUCAGGAUUACAAUCAUCCUUAUUACAAUCGCUCGUACAAUUUUACGAUACUGACAACUUAUAAGGUAACAGAAUAUGCUGAUCAAUAUGUGCACCAAAAUAGAGUAAUCACUCCACAACAUGAAUGGUAUAAUUGUGGAGUUAAAAUGGCAUAUAAUGAAACUCUUAUAAUUAGUGGAAGAUUAGAAAAUAACGUACCUGCCACUCAUGAAUGUUUUCUCGUUAUAAGAGGAGAAGAAAAUAUCAGAAAUUUUGAUAAUUUUUAAAGGCGGAAUAGUAACGCAUUUUUUUUCUUCAUAAUAAUUUUACAUCGUUUAUUAAGGCCACAUGAAGUGAAAAAAUUUGGAAAAUCAAAAAGUGCACGACUCAUAAUGCUCAUUUAUUAUGAAAUAAUAAAAUAAUAAACAAAUGGCGGGAAGCACGAAUAAAUUUAAAAUAUAUACAAUUUUCUGUCAUUAAAAUUUGUUGUUUUUUUUUUGUUUUAAUUAUAUUAGACAUUUUUUAUAAUUGUAAAAGAAUUUUCUCAAAAUAUUUCGGUUAAUAACAAGAAAAAAUAUAUGUAAAUAAAAACA
Microplitis demolitor is the source of this 1525-nucleotide RNA transcript. RefSeq lists it as uncharacterized. The record is from RefSeq and is a predicted model, not a curated record. The transcript has 5 exons. Lineage: Eukaryota; Metazoa; Arthropoda; Insecta; Hymenoptera; Braconidae.